UACGUAGGGGGCGAGCGUUAUCCGGAUUCACUGGGUGUAAAGGGAGCGUAGACGGACUGUCAGACCAGAUGUGAAAAUCCGGGGCUCAACCCCGGACCUGCAUUUGGGACUGAUGGACUGGAGUACCGGGUGGGCAGGCGGAAUUCCUGGUGUAGCGGUGAAAUGCGUAGAUAUCAGGAGGAACACCGGUGGCGAAGGCGGCCUGUUGGACGGAUACUGACGUUGAGGCUCGAAAGCGUGGGGAGCAAAC
Molecule: ribosomal RNA, 250 nt
Filed under: uncultured prokaryote
Description: partial 16S ribosomal RNA
Rfam family: Bacterial small subunit ribosomal RNA
Source: RNAcentral